Molecule: ribosomal RNA, 574 nt
Filed under: uncultured Rhodocyclaceae bacterium
Lineage: Bacteria; Pseudomonadati; Pseudomonadota; Betaproteobacteria; Rhodocyclales; Rhodocyclaceae
Description: bacterial SSU rRNA
Rfam family: Bacterial small subunit ribosomal RNA
Source: RNAcentral
GUUGUAAAGCUCUUUCGGCAGGAACGAAACGGUUACGGAUAAUACCCGUGACUACUGACGGUACCUGAAGAAGAAGCACCGGCUAACUACGUGCCAGCAGCCGCGGUAAUACGUAGGGUGCGAGCGUUAAUCGGAUUUACUGGGCGUAAAGCAUGCGCAGGCGGCGGUUCAAGUCAGGUGUGAAAUCCCCGAGCUUAACUUGGGAAUUGCGCUUGAAACUAGAUCGCUAGAGUACGGCAGAGGGGGGUAGAAUUCCACGUGUAGCAGUGAAAUGCGUAGAGAUGUGGAGGAACACCGAUGGCGAAGGCAGCCCCCUGGGCCUGUACUGACGCUCAUGCAUGAAAGCGUGGGGAGCAAACAGGAUUAGAUACCCUGGUAGUCCACGCCCUAAACUAUGUCAACUAGUUGUUGGAAGAGUCAAAUCUUUCAGUAACGCAGCUAACGCGCGAAGUUGACCGCCUGGGGAGUACGGUCGCAAGAUUAAAACUCAAAGGAAUUGACGGGGACCCGCACAAGCGGUGGAUGAUGUGGAUUAAUUCGAUGCAACGCGAAAACCUUACCUACCCUUGACAUG